This 1299-nucleotide ribosomal RNA is filed under the name Triticum aestivum (bread wheat). Its description in RNAcentral is "partial small subunit ribosomal RNA". The record is from RNAcentral. Lineage: Eukaryota; Viridiplantae; Streptophyta; Magnoliopsida; Poales; Poaceae.
AUGGCGGAGAUCUGCUCGCCGUACCCGACCUCCGGCGGCCUCUACUACUGGAGCACCAAGCUCGCCGGCAGGGAGUGGGCGUCCGUCGCCUCCUGGGUCACCGGCUGGUUCAACAUCGUCGGACAGUGGGCGACGGCCACCAGCGUGGACUUCUCGCUGGCCCAGCUCAUCCAGGUGAUCAUCUUGCUGGCCACCGGCGGCACCAACAGCGGCGGCUACCUCGCGUCCAAGUACGUCGUGCUGGCGAUCUACGGCUUCAUCCUCAUCCUCCAUGGCCUCAUCAACAGCCUCCCCAUCCACUGGCUCUCAUGGUUUGGGCAGCUCGGCGCUUUCUGGAACGCUGCAGGUGUGUUUGUGCUGGUGAUCUUGAUUCCGUCUGUUGCCAAGGAGCGAUCGAGUGCCGAGUUCAUCUUCACGCACCUCAACACGGACAAUGGCAUGGGCAUUCAUAAUAAAGCUUACAUUCUAGGCGUGGGGCUGUUGAUGAGCAACUACUGCAUGAUCGGCUACGAUACAUCUGCUCAUAUGACAGAAGAAACGAAGAACGCUGAUAGGAGCGGUCCGAUUGGGAUUGUCACUUCGGUCGUUCUCUCAAACAUCUUUGGGUGGAUUUACCUAGUGACCCUGACUUCAGUUGUGACAGACAUCCCGUACCUGCUAAGUGCCGAUAAUGACGCAGGCGGCUAUGCCAUCGCUCAGGCUCUCUACACCAUAUUCAACCAGAGGUAUGGCAGUGGUGUUGGUGGGCUCGUGUGCCUCGGCGUCAUUGCUGUCGCCAUGUUCCUCUGCGGUGUUGCGUGCAUAACGAGCAACUCAAGGAUGGGGUAUGCCUUCUCAAGGGACGGAGCCAUGCCGUACUCGCACCUUUGGCACCGGGUGAACAAGCACGAGGUGCCAUUGAACAUUGUCUGGCUCUCCGUGCUCGUGGCCUUCGCCAUGGCUCUCACGUCAUUGGGGAGUCAGGUAGCAUUCCAGGCGAUGGUAUCCAUUGCGACACUAGGGUUGUACAUCUCCUACGCGCUGCCCAUCUUCUUCCGGGUGACGACCGCCCGAAAGUCAUUCGUCCGAGGGCCGUUUCACCUCGGUAGGUACGGUGUGAUCAUCGGCUGGGCUGCCGUGCUGUGGGUGGCCUUCAUCACCGUGCUAUUCUCGCUGCCGGUAGCAUACCCUGUGGGAAAGGACGUCUUCAACUACACGCCGGUUGCCGUUGGCGGGGUGUUGUUGCUCAGCGUUGGCUCUUGGGUCUUCCAUGCUCGGUUCUGGUUCAAGGGACCCAUCGUGAACGUUGACACAUACUAG